ACACCUCACCCCCUCGGGUUUCCGAUCGGGUGGACUUGGGCGCCUGCCAUUCACUUGGCUCGCCUUAAAUGCAUUAGCGGUCGUUGACGUAAUAAGUUUCGUCGGUCUGGCCGCUGACAAUCUCCCUCCACUGGGAUGUCCCGCGAGGGACACUUUCAUG
Molecule: unclassified non-coding RNA, 160 nt
Filed under: uncultured Cryptococcus
Lineage: Eukaryota; Fungi; Basidiomycota; Tremellomycetes
Description: sequence contains ITS2
Source: RNAcentral